This 526-nucleotide ribosomal RNA is filed under the name uncultured bacterium. Its description in RNAcentral is "bacterial SSU rRNA". It matches the Rfam family "Bacterial small subunit ribosomal RNA", at positions 8 to 555 of the family's 1533-position model. The record is from RNAcentral.
AGAGUUUGAUCCUGGCUCAGAACGAACGCUGGCGGCGUGGAUAAGACAUGCAAGUCGAACGAGAGAAUUGCUAGCUUGCUAAUAAUUCUCUAGUGGCGCACGGGUGAGUAACACGUGAGUAACCUGCCCCCGAGAGCGGGAUAGCCCUGGGAAACUGGGAUUAAUACCGCAUAGUAUCGAAAGAUUAAAGCAGCAAUGCGCUUGGGGAUGGGCUCGCGGCCUAUUAGUUAGUUGGUGAGGUAACGGCUCACCAAGGCGAUGACGGGUAGCCGGUCUGAGAGGAUGUCCGGCCACACUGGAACUGAGACACGGUCCAGACACCUACGGGUGGCAGCAGUCGAGAAUCAUUCACAAUGGGGGAAAUCCUGAUGGUGCGACGCCGCGUGGGGGAAUGAAGGUCUUCGGAUUGUAAACCCCUGUCAUGUGGGAGCAAAUUAAAAAGAUAGUACCACAAGAGGAAGAGACGGCUAACUCUGUGCCAGCAGCCGCGGUAAUACAGAGGUCUCAAGCGUUGUUCGGAAUCACU